RNAcentral lists this ribosomal RNA (1212 nucleotides) under uncultured fungus. RNAcentral describes it as "eukaryotic LSU rRNA". The stretch from base 495 to 1212 matches the Rfam family "Eukaryotic large subunit ribosomal RNA", at positions 1 to 649 of the family's 3401-position model. The record is from RNAcentral. Lineage: Eukaryota; Fungi.
AGUCGUAACAAGGUUUCCGUAGGUGAACCUGCGGAAGGAUCAUUAACAAAUCGUGUCUGAGCUUUAUGCUCAACAUUUACUCUGGGGGGGAUUGCUCUCCCCCAUUGUACAUUUACGCUUGUAUUGUUCGACUGUAUCAAUGAAAUCUAUAAUUAAAGACAACUUUUAACAAUGGAUCUCUUGGCUCUUGCAACGAUGAAGAACGCAGUAAAGUGCGAUAUCUAGUGCGAUUUGCAUGAAUCUGUGAGUCAUCGAGUCUUUGAACGCAACUUGCGCCACUUGGGCAACCAAGUGGCAUGCCUGUUUGAGUAUCACAAACCUCUUUAUUCCAAGUUUGGAAUAGAUUUGAAGGCUUUGGAGUAUUCCAAUCCUUUGAAAUAAAGUUUGUUGGUGAUUGAUUUGGUCACUACCAUGUGCUAAAGACUUUUAGUCUUGUCAUGUUAAUGAUCAUAGUCAACCCAUUGCAAGAUCCAAUUUUGCAAAACUACCUUUAAUGGUCUCAAAUCAGGCAAGACUACCCGCUGAACUUAAGCAUAUCAGUAAGCGGAGGAAAAGAAACUAACAAGGAUUCCCCUAGUAAUGGCGAAUGAAGCGGGAAUAGCUCAAAUUUAAAAUCUGGACGGUCCCCGUCCCGAAUUGUAGUCUAAAGAAGGUAAUCUAGACCGAGUUAGAGACCAAGUCCCUUGGAAUAGGGCGCCUGAGAGGGUGAGAGCCCCGUAUAGUCUCAAUACAAAGUUAUAACGAGAACCUUUCUAAGAGUCGAGUUGUUUGGGAAUGCAGCUCAAAGUGGGUGGUAAAUCUCAUCUAAGGCUAAAUAUUGGCAAGAGACCGAUAGCGAACAAGUACCGUGAGGGAAAGAUGAAAAGCACCUUGAAAAGGGAGUUAAACAGUGCGUGAAAUUGUUAAAAGGGAAACGAUUGAGACCAGUAUUGAAGAUGAGCAGUGAGCCAGGUCUCUCGGGACUUGGCAAGCCUCACCUUCGAGUCAAUACCAGUUAGAUUUGCCUUAUACCGUUUCGAGGAAGGUGGGGAAGCUUUCGGGCUUUUCUUUAUAGACUCGAAAUAUCAAGGCAGGUCUGACUGGGAAUUCGUCAGUCUAACGAGUUGAAGACAUGGUUAGGCGUCAUCGCUAGGCUGCAUGCAGACUAGUAAUAGCCCUAAUCCUCGAAUUACCUCAUGAUUGUCACUAUUGACGAAAUGGUCUUAAACGACC